RNAcentral lists this long non-coding RNA (458 nucleotides) under Panax ginseng (ginseng). RNAcentral describes it as "long non-coding RNA (PGIN_LNC002022)". The record is from RNAcentral. Lineage: Eukaryota; Viridiplantae; Streptophyta; Magnoliopsida; Apiales; Araliaceae.
GUUGAUUUGUUUGUUUAAUAACCAUCUAGAAGAUCCAUACAAAUUGGGUCAUAACUUGGGCCAAUUAUUUUAUUGUUUGGGCUCUCCAAUUAAAUUGCUUGGGCUAUGUAAAAGAAUAGCAUGAUCCAAUAGAUAAAUUUUAUUAUAUCCUAAUCAUUUAAUUAGGAUUUUCAUUUCCUCAAUUAUAACACAAAUCCUUGCUCAUGCACACUUAUUUCCUUAACCCAAUUAGACUUGCUAUAAUUAGGUUAUAAAAUUAAUCAUUUGAGAUAUAUAUAAAAUAAAUCUCCUAGAAUUAGUAAGUAUUCUAAAUACCACAAUUCUCUUUUUCCAUAACCCUUAAGUUAUUAAAUCCUUCAUUCCUAAUAUAUAAUUAGGUUUACACUAAUUUCUUUUGUUUGUUUAUAUAAUAAAUAAAUAUAAACCAUCACAUAAUGUUCAUAUUCCUUACACACAAC